GACGAACGCUGGCGGCGUGCUUAACACAUGCAAGUCGAACGGAAAGGCCCUGCUUUUGUGGGGUGCUCGAGUGGCGAACGGGUGAGUAACACGUGAGUAACCUGCCCUUGACUUUGGGAUAACUUCAGGAAACUGGGGCUAAUACCGGAUAGGAGCUCCUGCUGCAUGGUGGGGGUUGGAAAGUUUCGGCGGUUGAGGAUGGACUCGCGUCUGAUCAGCUUGUUGGUGGGGUAGUGGCUCACCAAGGCGUCGACGGGUAGCCGGCCUGGGUGGGUGCUCAGUCACGCUUGGACUGCGACCCGGCCCCGACUCCUACGGGAGGCAGCAGUGGGUAAUAUUGGACACUGGGGGCAACCCUGAUCCAGCCAUGCCGCGUGAGUGAAGAUGGCCUUCGGGUUGUAAAGCUCUUUCGACGGGGACGAUGAUGACGGUACCCGUAGAAGAAGCCCCGGCUAACUUCGUG
This 463-nucleotide ribosomal RNA is filed under the name uncultured bacterium. RNAcentral's name for it is "partial 16S ribosomal RNA". It matches the Rfam family "Bacterial small subunit ribosomal RNA", at positions 28 to 507 of the family's 1533-position model. The record is from RNAcentral.